Molecule: transfer RNA, 89 nt
Filed under: Chloroflexota bacterium
Lineage: Bacteria; Bacillati; Chloroflexota
Description: Chloroflexi bacterium (hot springs metagenome) tRNA-Ser
Rfam family: tRNA
About the family: Transfer RNA (tRNA) molecules are approximately 80 nucleotides in length. Their secondary structure includes four short double-helical elements and three loops (D, anti-codon, and T loops).
Source: RNAcentral
GGAGGGAUGGCCGAGUGGACGAAGGCGGCGGUCUUGAAAACCGCUGUGGGUAACUCCCACCGUGGGUUCGAAUCCCACUCCCUCCGCCU